RNAcentral lists this unclassified non-coding RNA (241 nucleotides) under uncultured fungus. Its description in RNAcentral is "sequence contains ITS1, 5.8S rRNA gene". The stretch from base 193 to 241 matches the Rfam family "5.8S ribosomal RNA", at positions 1 to 49 of the family's 154-position model. Lineage: Eukaryota; Fungi. The record is from RNAcentral.
UCUCCGUAGGUGAACCUGCGGAGGGAUCAUUACAAGAGCGAACGGGGGGAUCCGUCCCCCUGAACCUCCAACCCCAUGUUUUCCGACUCUGUUGCCUCGGGGGCGACCCGGCCCUCUGGGCGUCGGGGCCCCCGGUGGCUCACACCUCAACUCUUGCAUCUGUGCGUCUGAGUAACAUAUUGAAUCAAUCAAAACUUUCAACAACGGAUCUCUUGGUUCUGGCAUCGAUGAAGAACGCAGC